This 55-nucleotide ribosomal RNA is filed under the name uncultured bacterium. RNAcentral describes it as "partial 16S ribosomal RNA". The record is from RNAcentral.
AAACGUCCUAAAGUCGAAACACGGCCCCAAAGGGUUAUGAUUCAUGAUUGGGGUG